GGCCGUCUUGCAGUCCUUCAGAAGGGCCUUAGGACUGGAUGUGGAUUUAGGAAGAUAACGCUAAAUGAGGGCAGAGGGCGGACAGAGCCGAGACUAACACCGAACCAAGGCCUGCUUCCCGGAGCUUCCGAGGCAGGUGUCUUUCCUGCCCAUCUCCACCCGCAGGAUUGCAGAUAUUCGUAAAUUGACAGAGCUCCAACACACACAGCCACAGCAUACAGAAGCCCAUCUCCAUCCCAUCCGUGACUCGUGCCAAGGCCAGGAAUCCAUGCAAAGGAAUACCUCUGGUGAGAUUUCUGAAGAGUCCAGUCUGGAUGGUGGAAGCCUCAUUUUGCAGCCUGUCUGACUGAAACCCGGAGCUCUCUGUUUGCAUUUCAACCCCAGUCUUUUGUUUUCCACCCCUCAAGAGGUUCAACCAGUUCAAACAUCAGAAAAAUCCUCCGGUUCGUGCGGAAGGUCAGCAUUUGAGUGAAUUCUCCAUGAUGAUGAGGCCACAGAGACAUAGACUAGAGGUUCCAGUGCUAGGCUUGCCUACGGUCCAGUCUUAUGAAGGCCUUCUCUCUAUCGGGGUUCCCUCCUCUCCGAUGGCUGUAGCCUGUGUCAAGUUGGCAUAAAAUUAGUGGGCACACUUGGCAAGUCAGCAUAUAGUGAAGAUGGACUCAGAGUCAAAGAGCUCCCUUGGUCAUCCCGACGCAUCCACUUGAAGCGUCUCUCCUUCCAACCUGUGCAAUGGACAACUUGGAAGGUUCUGGACAUGUUGGAGCCACCAGUCUGUAGAUGGCUUUUUUCCCAGUUGGAUUCCUGCUUCCUCUCACUUUGCUAUGUUUAGACUCCAAGGUGCUCUGUUACUGUGACAGCCCUGCCAGUCCCUUAAGCCCCCCAACCUCCCCAGUUUGUAUUUUCUACAACUCCAUCUACACAGUAACUCCACCCCUGGAGUAGUCCAGCCACCGCUUCUUCCCUUCCUCACUCCCCAUCAGUCAGGCUCCGGUGGACAUGGUGACAAAGAUCAUGGUCACCUACUCUGGUGGGCCUUGACCCCAAUAACAGUGUGGUAGUGUUUCUCUCUAACUCUCUGCAGUGGCUGUUUCAAGGCUUCUCCCUCAUUGUCAAAUGUCUAACACACCAGUCUUUCCUGAUGUUUAGGGCUCUAGACUUCCUCUAUGGCCCAGAGCGGCCUUCUUCCCUCCUGGCUCAAGGCAAGCGCCUCUCCCCUGAGGUCAACCCUGUCUGGGCUCUGCCUUCUGUCCUUGACAUCAUCCGCACAACACAUUGCUUCUCUCUCUCACACAGCACCUCAAUUCCAGGAGAAAUGCUCCUGGUAGUGCCUUCAAAAAAAUACCCCAAGCCCAGCAACUUCCCUUUAGCAUAAGAGAGGUCACCUCCAGACCUUGAUCUCUGCACUGAAUAAUGCUUCUUCCAGGCUUCCUUGGCUAGAUCGCACUACCUUCUGGGAUCAAAUCAAAGCAGGCUUCUCCUCUGUUCAAGACCCUAACUUACUCAGAGGAAAAGCCAGUCUCUCUAGGUCCACUGGGUCCUACCAAGGCUAUCUGAUACGAACUUUCCAUCAGGGUGGAAAACAGAACGUGUUUUUCUUCUGGUCAGCAGCUGAGCACUGGAAGUGUGCUGAUGUGACCAAGGAAGGGAAUCGUUUUUUCCCCUUUUGUGUUUAGACAGUCUUAUGAAUCCCAGGAAAGCCUCAAAUUCUGUUAUGUAGACAAAAAUGACCUUGGACUUCCUUUUCGUUCUUUAUUUUUUUUGAAACAAGGUCUCACUACAUAUCUCUGACUGGCCUCAGACUCAGACCCUGUGACCUUGAGCUUUUUAUCGUCCCCAGUACUAGUUUAACAGGCAUGUGCCACCACACUCGGUUUUAUGCAAUGUGGACCAAAUCCAGGGUUUUGCUCUUUGGUAUGCUCUACAAGUACACUACCUACUGAGCAGCAUACCCAGCCCUAAUUCUUUGCUUUUCAAUCGGCUGACAUUUAACCACCUGGUUCCAGGUUACCACACAAAAAAAGCACAGCCCACGUGAUCUACACACAUCUACCCUACACUGCUUUGCCAUGAUUUCCUCUACAGCUUCCAUCCUCUCAGAGAUCAGGACUGGGGCUGUGGUAGAGCGCCUAGCAUCCAUGUGGCCCUACAUCCAUCCCGAACAGUGCUGGAUAAAUAAAUGAAUGAUAGGCAAAGACAUUUCUCAUCUUUCUCUCCAACGCUUUAGGUGACCCGGAGACUCCACCCAUCCCUGACGUCAGUCCCUACCCCACGGUCUGGUCUUCCACGUCCGCUCUCCUUUAGCCCCAACACUGUCCUACUUAGAGGAGUACAUCACUGGGGCUGUUGCCUUGGGCUUAUGCUCACGCUGUUCUUUCUCCUUUGAAUACUCCCUGCCCAAUAUUGAUAAGGUCUGAUCAGCGCUUCCUCACUUCCUCCAAGCUGACCCAGGCCUACCCCAACUAAAAUGUGUCAAAAAGCAGCCUCCCACCCCAUUCUUUCCAGCUUAGCUCCCUCUGAUGUAUUUUAUCUUUGGGAGUCGGCUUUCUCCCUGGCAAGCGUAGAGUUCACAAAAUACUAACCCCCAAAUAGUCUCCAGCACAGAACAGGCACUCAAUAACAGUAAAGGUGCUGAAAUUAAUGACUGCA
Molecule: non-coding RNA, 2646 nt
Organism: Rattus norvegicus (Norway rat)
Lineage: Eukaryota; Metazoa; Chordata; Mammalia; Rodentia; Muridae
Source: RefSeq, a predicted model, not a curated record